CUAGCUGUUCGCUUUUAAAUUGGCACUUUGAGUUGAGGGCGGAGCGUGAAUUAAGUAAAGGCUUAUUUGUUCCUGAAUGUUUCAUUUUUAUUAACCAAAACCAACAUUUAUCAUACUUGCAACUAAGACCUCGAAUGUUUGGAAAAGACGAUGUCGACAAAGCGGAGUUUUUUAAUGAAAUAAAAGACAUUUGCAAGUGCUGGCUUACACCCGGGGAAUUGUCAGUAAAUAAGGCGCCAGGAGGUUGUGCAAGCACUAGAAAUGACGAGCAUGGAGAGGUCAAUCUUGGUAGUCAGGUCUGGUAGAGCAAUCUCAAAUUAUCAUAUAGAAAUGUUAUGAUUUCGGUAUUGAUCAAAAGGUGCUG
RNAcentral lists this unclassified non-coding RNA (364 nucleotides) under Zea mays. RNAcentral's name for it is "misc RNA Zm00001eb434720". Lineage: Eukaryota; Viridiplantae; Streptophyta; Magnoliopsida; Poales; Poaceae. The record is from RNAcentral.